GCCAAUCAAUGGUCUUAUGGUUCUCGUAUCCGGAGCCGGAUCGGGAUUAAAAGGGAACACGGUGCGGCGUAGCCAAAAGGCACCAAGUCCGUGACUGCCCCCGCAACUGUGAGCGGUGAGCAAACCUGAAAGCGCCACUGGGGAGACCCCGGGAAGGAUCAGGCAAGCCAUGACCCGCAAGUCAGGAGACCUGCCAUUUCAUCACAAACUUC
RNAcentral lists this non-coding RNA (212 nucleotides) under Roseibium album. Lineage: Bacteria; Pseudomonadati; Pseudomonadota; Alphaproteobacteria; Hyphomicrobiales; Stappiaceae. The record is from RNAcentral.